UUAUACGUCUCCGCCCCAAGGCCUGCUAUACAAAGAGAACAAAUCAUUUGGGCCAUUUAAUGAACUGCUUAACAAUCAUCUAUUGGGCUUUUUCGUGGGGAUUUCUUUUUUUUUUUUUGGGUUUGUACAGCCCGAAUCAUUUCUCCAAAAAUAUAUCGUGGAAAUAAGUUAGGAUCGUUAACAUAGACUAUCAGUAUUAACUGGCUGGGCUGACUCAAUUUUGACGCUGCCGCUAAUUUAUUUUUUUAUGUAAAAUGUUCGUAGACCCAAAUGUGUUUGAUCUUAUAACAACAUGUACUUUCCUCUUUUUCUUUUUUUUUUGUCGUUGUUAAAGCUAUCACUUGGUACUAGGUUUUAUUCCGUGGGACAACUUUUUUUUUUUUUUUUUUAAUAAUAUUUUCUGAUAUUUUAUAAAAGAAUGACUUUCUUUUUUAAUUUUCCAUUUUGUAAUAUAAUUUACUUUUAUCUUUAUGGGUUUACAAAGGUUUUUAAAACUUUAUGGGUUUACAAAGGUUUUAUCUUUAUGGGUUUU
This 532-nucleotide long non-coding RNA is filed under the name Capsella rubella. Its description in RNAcentral is "long non-coding RNA (CRUB_LNC000550)". The record is from RNAcentral. Lineage: Eukaryota; Viridiplantae; Streptophyta; Magnoliopsida; Brassicales; Brassicaceae.